AUUCUCUGUGGACAUAAGUCUACAGAGGAAAGGCUUCGGUCGCUCUGAGAGAGGCUUGUGUCCUAUCAGUUUGUUGGUGAGGUAACGGCUCACCAAGACUUCGACGGGUAGGGGGUGUGAGAGCAUGACCCCCCACAUGGGAACUGAGACACGGUUCCAACUCCUACGGGAGGCAGCAGUCUAGAAAUUUGCGCAAUGGGCGAAAGCCUGACGCAGCGACGCCGCGUGAGGGAUGAAUUCCUUCGGGAUGUAAACCUCUGUUGAGGGGGACGAUAAUGACGGUACCCCUCGAGGAAGCCUCGGCUAACUCCGUGCCAGCAGCCGCGGUAAAACGGAGGAGGCAAGCGUUGUCCGGAAUUACUGGGCGUAAAGGGUGUGUAGGUGUCCUGGUGGGUCAAGUGUGAAAUCCAACAGCUCAACUGUUGAACUGCAUUUGAAACUAUCGGGAUUGAGGACACGAGGGGAGAGUGGAACUCGCGGUGUAGCGGUAGAAUGCGUUGAUAUCGCGAGGAAUGCCGAUGGCGAAGGCGGCUCUCUAGUAUGUUCCUCGU
RNAcentral lists this ribosomal RNA (551 nucleotides) under uncultured bacterium. RNAcentral's name for it is "bacterial SSU rRNA". It matches the Rfam family "Bacterial small subunit ribosomal RNA", at positions 173 to 744 of the family's 1533-position model. The record is from RNAcentral.